This 1371-nucleotide ribosomal RNA is filed under the name uncultured bacterium. RNAcentral describes it as "bacterial SSU rRNA". It matches the Rfam family "Bacterial small subunit ribosomal RNA", at positions 28 to 1381 of the family's 1533-position model. The record is from RNAcentral.
GAUGAACGCUGGCGGCGUGCCUAAUACAUGCAAGUCGAGCGAACGGACGAGAAGCUUGCUUCUCUGAUGUUAGCGGCGGACGGGUGAGUAACACGUGGAUAACCUACCUAUAAGACUGGGAUAACUUCGGGAAACCGGAGCUAAUACCGGAUAAUAUUUUGAACCGCAUGGUUCAAAAGUAAAAGACGGUCUUGCUGUCACUUAUAGAUGGAUCCGCGCUGCAUUAGCUAGUUGGUAAGGUAACGGCUUACCAAGGCAACGAUGCAUAGCCGACCUGAGAGGGUGAUCGGCCACACUGGAACUGAGACACGGUCCAGACUCCUACGGGAGGCAGCAGUAGGGAAUCUUCCGCAAUGGGCGAAAGCCUGACGGAGCAACGCCGCGUGAGUGAUGAAGGUCUUCGGAUCGUAAAACUCUGUUAUUAGGGAAGAAUAUAUGUGUAAGUAACUGUGCACAUCUUGACGGUACCUAAUCAGAAAGCCACGGCUAACUACGUGCCAGCAGCCGCGGUAAUACGUAGGUGGCAAGCGUUAUCCGGAAUUAUUGGGCGUAAAGCGCGCGUAGGCGGUUUUUUAGUCUGAUGUGAAAGCCCACGGCUCAACCGUGGAGGGUCAUUGGAAACUGGAAAACUUGUGUGCAGAAGAGGAAAGUGGAAUUCCAUGUGUAGCGGUGAAAUGCGCAGAGAUAUGGAGGAACACCAGUGGCGAAGGCGACUUUCUGGUCUGUAACUGACGCUGAUGUGCGAAAGCGUGGGGAUCAAACAGGAUUAGAUACCCUGGUAGUCCACGCCGUAAACGAUGAGUGCUAAGUGUUAGGGGGUUUCCGCCCCUUAGUGCUGCAGCUAACGCAUUAAGCACUCCGCCUGGGGAGUACGACCGCAAGGUUGAAACUCAAAGGAAUUGACGGGGACCCGCACAAGCGGUGGAGCAUGUGGUUUAAUUCGAAGCAACGCGAAGAACCUUACCAAAUCUUGACAUCCUUUGACAACUCUAGAGAUAGAGCCUUCCCCUUCGGGGGACAAAGUGACAGGUGGUGCAUGGUUGUCGUCAGCUCGUGUCGUGAGAUGUUGGGUUAAGUCCCGCAACGAGCGCAACCCUUAAGCUUAGUUGCCAUCAUUAAGUUGGGCACUCUAAGUUGACUGCCGGUGACAAACCGGAGGAAGGUGGGGAUGACGUCAAAUCAUCAUGCCCCUUAUGAUUUGGGCUACACACGUGCUACAAUGGACAAUACAAAGGGCAGCGAAACCGCGAGGUCAAGCAAAUCCCAUAAAGUUGUUCUCAGUUCGGAUUGUAGUCUGCAACUCGACUACAUGAAGCUGGAAUCGCUAGUAAUCGUAGAUCAGCAUGCUACGGUGAAUACGUUCCCGGGUCU